CCUACGUGGGGCAGCAGUGAGGAAUAUUGGUCAAUGGGUGCGAGCCUGAACCAGCCAAGUAGCGUGAAGGAUGACUGCCCUACGGGUUGUAAACUUCUUUUAUAAAGGAAUAAAGUGAGGCACGUGUGCCUUUUUGUAUGUACUUUAUGAAUAAGGAUCGGCUAACUCCGUGCCAGCAGCCGCGGUAAUACGGAGGCUCCAAGCGUUAUCCGGAUUUAUUGGGUUUAAAGGGAGCGUAGAUGGGUUUUUAAGUCAGUUGUGAAAGUUUGCGGCUCAACCGUAAAAUUGCAAUUGAUACUGGCAGUCUUGAGUACAGUUGAGGUAGGCGGAAUUCGUGGUGUAGCGGGGAAAUGCUUAGAUAUCACGAAGAACUCCGAUUGCGAAGGCAGCUUACUAAACUGCCACUGACAUUGAUGCCCGAAAGCGUGGGGAGCAAACAGGAUUAGAUACCCCAGUAGUC
This 460-nucleotide ribosomal RNA is filed under the name uncultured bacterium. RNAcentral's name for it is "partial 16S ribosomal RNA". It matches the Rfam family "Bacterial small subunit ribosomal RNA", at positions 338 to 795 of the family's 1533-position model. The record is from RNAcentral.